RNAcentral lists this ribosomal RNA (482 nucleotides) under uncultured bacterium. RNAcentral describes it as "partial 16S ribosomal RNA". It matches the Rfam family "Bacterial small subunit ribosomal RNA", at positions 28 to 507 of the family's 1533-position model. The record is from RNAcentral.
GACGAACGCUGGCGGCGUGCUUAACACAUGCAAGUCGAACGCUGAAGCUCAGCUUUUGUUGGGUGGAUGAGUGGCGAACGGGUGAGUAACACGUGGGUAACCUGCCCCCUUCUUUGGGAUAACGCCCGGAAACGGGUGCUAAUACUGGAUAUUCACUGGUCUUCGCAUGGGGGUUGGUGGAAAGGGUUUUUCUGGUGGGGAUGGGCUCGCGGCCUAUCAGCUUGUUGGUGGGGUGAUGGCCUACCAAGGCUUUGACGGGUAGCCGGCCUGAGAGGGUGACCGGUCACAUUGGGACUGAGAUACGGCCCAGACUCCUACGGGAGGCAGCAGUGGGGAAUAUUGCACAAUGGGCGCAAGCCUGAUGCAGCGACGCCGCGUGAGGGAUGGAGGCCUUCGGGUUGUGAACCUCUUUCGCUCAUGGUCAAGCCGCAACAAUGGUUGUGGUGAGGGUAGUGGGUAAAGAAGCGCCGGCUAACUACGUG